GGAUGUGAGGGUGAUCUGGCUGGGACAUCUGUCACCCCAUUGAUCUCCAGUGUUGAUUCAGCUGAUCUGGCUUUCAAGGGAAGUGUCCCCUUCCUCCCUCACUGCUCCAUGUGAGUCCCUCUUGAAGUUGUGUGCUUACUCGGUGGAAAAGGAUGGCCUUCCCUGAAUAAAGAUGAAUUGGUCUUUGGUCCAGGGUAUAUGAGUAGCUGUGAUCCCCUGCUUUCAAGGUCCAUAUAUACUCCUAAAAUCUGUUCAUUGUAAGUCUUGAAUUUUGUAAAACAUUCAGAUUAAAUAUGUUCAAUUUCU
Erinaceus europaeus (western European hedgehog) is the source of this 306-nucleotide unclassified non-coding RNA. Its record names the gene 7SK. It matches the Rfam family "7SK RNA". Rfam says of the family: 7SK was discovered as an abundant small nuclear RNA in the mid-70s but a possible function has only recently been suggested. NCBI's taxonomy places the organism in Eukaryota, Metazoa, Chordata, Mammalia, Eulipotyphla, Erinaceidae. The record is from Ensembl.